Long non-coding RNA from Uranotaenia lowii, 2623 nucleotides. RefSeq lists it as uncharacterized. The transcript is spliced from 4 exons. The record is from RefSeq and is a predicted model, not a curated record. Lineage: Eukaryota; Metazoa; Arthropoda; Insecta; Diptera; Culicidae.
AAGAAAAGAAAAAGUUCUGAAGUGACGUGUUAAAAAGGAAGUCGACGGUGGUGCCGGAUCCCGUGCAAGAGAGCGGUCGUCUCGCUUCUCGGGCCGGCAAAGGAAGUGCAAGUGGCCCCUGGAGAAAUCCGCUAGAAAUCCUUCAGGAGGUAUUCGCGCCAGACUGAAGGAGACGACAUCGAUCACAGCCGCUGGUUGUUCCUCCGGGCUUGGAAACCGAAUAUAAUUCAGAUCGGGACGCAGCAAGCCGUGACAGAAACACAUCAAAAGGAAAAAUAUCCCCAAUAUAGGGGUUUUUGUUUCUUGCCUCUUCUUCCCAGGAACUGCGCACCACGGCACCGAUCCACGUGCAGAAGACCACCGUGCUCACAUUUGUUGCCUUCCCUCGGUCAGGCAAAUCGACCGUGGAAAAAAAAAAACGCCAGCGAAGCGGUUUGCACGUGUAGUGUUGGACGAGGCCUGUCAGCCGCCAUCCAGGCCGCCCACACCAAGGAAAAGCAUCGCAAGUGACAUCCCCGGAACGUGCAGUGUAGGGCGAGGCCUGCCAGCCGCCAUCCAGGCCGCCCACACCAAGGAAAAACAUCGCAAGUGAUAUCACCGUAACGUGUAGUGUUGGGCGAGGCCUGUUAGCCGCCAUCAAGGCCGCCCACAGUAAGGAUAAGACAUCGCCAGCAAUAUCGUGCAGUCUCGUAAGGGACCUGUUAGCAGAAACAAGGGGCUCCAGGACUGAGGAAGUUUGUCGUCUGCAUCAUGCCCAGAACAUGCCAUCUCGAAUUCCAAUGACCUUGCCUGUUUCCCCAUGUCGCCAAGGGAGUCGGCGAAGGGGAUGCUGAGGACAGGAGCGGCGAAACAGCUCGUUGACCUUAUCGAAAGAUGACAUCUGACACACAUGCACUUACUCGAUUCCAUGCGACGGAACUGGCCGGUCACACUCCAUUACAGAUCAUUUGCCGAAUGAAUGACUGCCCCCCUUCUUGGUUUCCUUCCUUUCAACCAAGCACGUGGCAUUUGGCAAUGGAAAAUCCAAAUCCGAACGAAACCUGCAAUGAUCGAUUAAUUUUCUGGCCGCCGCCGCCAUUCAAAUGCGUUUCGGCCUUUGGUGUAGGACAGAUCUUGGACCAGCAGAUGGAAACAACAAAAAAAAAAAUCAAAGCUCAAAGAGACAGAUCAGAGAAAAAAAUGACAACCGAAGCACAUGGCAGUGGUAAAAUUGCGCAAAAAUCGACACCAAUCGAAUGUGGUAUUAUAAUCCUACACAAAUAGAAGAACUCUAGAGAGGGAGAAAGGCUUGAAAAGUCGUCACAUUGCCGAAGCCGGACAAAGACCUGGCCUGGCUAGCAAUCGGCCACCGGUUCGAUUUUGAGUUCUUUUUUUUUCUUUCUGGGUCACUUCAUCGAGUUUAAGUUUUCUGUAAACAAUCCUAGAUGAUCGGACAAAAUUUUAUGUGUUAUUGGCUUGGAAAUGUUGGCCACACCUUUGGACGAUCUUCGGACGAUCUUCAGAAGCGAGCUAGAAUAUUUUUAACGAGUUUCGCUUUCCGAAUGUCACGCUCUGGAGCGGCAACAAGCAGACGAAACACAGCAAAAACGCAACCAAAACCGGCUUGUUACCCUAGGUCACUUGCACAAACCGAGCAGCGAAAGGUGGACGGCAACCCGACAGGGUUGCCAUGGAGCCGGCCUAUUGUCGAUAAUGAUGAUCAUCAUCAUCGCAUGGGCCCACCUUACACUUUCGUUCAUGUGUAAGUAUGUAAAUGGUGGUUGUUGGUAGCACUUCUUUGAGGGCGGCCGAAUGACGGCAUUCCAAUUAAAAGGCCCCUCACUCAGGCUUAACUUCCACCAGCCAAUUUCGGUGGCACCGGUUCUUUUACUUUUUUUUUUACCUCUGCGCGUAGGGCUCCUUCCAAUAUCUUCUUAUUUCUCCGAAGAUGGUGUAAGGUCGCCGAGCCGUGGUGGCCUAGUCGGCGGAACAGAGACACAGAUUGUGCAAUAGGCAGUUGAGGCUGGUCCGAGACUUGUCUUUUAACAAUUCUGCAUGCGUCAGCUUUUUCUGUUGUUAUUUUUAUUUUCGAUCAGCCUAUUUGGGACCACUGCACCGGAAGAAAAGAUUCAAUCAUUUGUUAAAAAAAAUCACUCUUUAAAAAAUCUUAAACAUCGUCGUUCGAGAAAAAACCUAAAUUUCAGACCUACACCAGCAUGAAGUGGGCUCAUUGAAUUUGGAUCUGGGUGCUGCUGCUAUCACACUGCCUGGUCAUUAUCUAAUUCGGAAUCCGGCGACCCAUGAAGACGAGACGAGUGCACAAAAGAUCAGACAGUCGUCAACGAAUGUUAGGCCAACUUACCGCCAAGUCUCAGUAUCACCGAUCAGAUGUUGUUCAGCGACCUUGACAGACAAAUAAACACACCUUUGAUACGGUUUUCCGAUGACUUACGAAAACUGUUUGCUGUAACGUAAGCUUCUCAGGUUGGCAAAUCAAUGAGAUUGUGGUAGGUUAAAGUUUUGGAAGGAAUUUUGGUUUUUCCUGACAACUUUGAAGGAUCUCUCGUUACAUUUUGACACAUUUAAAAGUGUUCAGCUAUUAAAGACGGAUGUGAAGACAUAUAACGAGGCUUUUAAAAAAUAA